AAUAUUGCACAAUGGGGGAAACCCUGAUGCAGCCAUGCCGCGUGUGUGAAGAAGGCCUUCGGGUUGUAAAGCACUUUCAGUAGGGAGGAAGGUAGUCGUAGUUAACACCUGCACUAUUUGACGUUACCUACAGAAGAAGCACCGGCUAACUCCGUGCCAGCAGCCGCGGUAAUACGGAGGGUGCGAGCGUUAAUCGGAAUUUACUGGGCGUAAAGCGCAUGCAGGCGGCCUGUUAAGUCAGAUGUGAAAGCCCGGGGCUUAACCUCGGAAUUGCAUUUGAAACUGGCAGGCUAGAGUCUUGUAGAGGGGGUAGAAUUUCAGGUGUAGCGGUGAAAUGCGUAGAGAUCUGAAGGAAUACCAGUGGCGAAGGCGGCCCCCUGGACAAAGACUGACGCUCAGAUGCGAAAGCGUGGGGAGCAAACAGGAUUAGAUACCCUGGUAG
RNAcentral lists this ribosomal RNA (442 nucleotides) under uncultured bacterium. RNAcentral's name for it is "bacterial SSU rRNA". It matches the Rfam family "Bacterial small subunit ribosomal RNA", at positions 360 to 793 of the family's 1533-position model. The record is from RNAcentral.